GACGAACGCUGGCGGCGUGCUUAACACAUGCAAGUCGAACGCUGAAGCCCAGCUUGCUGGGUGGAUGAGUGGCGAACGGGUGAGUAACACGUGAGUAACCUGCCCCCUUCUUUGGGAUAACGCCCGGAAACGGGUGCUAAUACUGGAUAUUCACUGAUCUUCGCAUGGGGGUUGGUGGAAAGGUUUUUUCUGGUGGGGGAUGGGCUCGCGGCCUAUCAGCUUGUUGGUGGGGUGAUGGCCUACCAAGGCUUUGACGGGUAGCCGGCCUGAGAGGGUGACCGGUCACAUUGGGACUGAGAUACGGCCCAGACUCCUACGGGAGGCAGCAGUGGGGAAUAUUGCACAAUGGGCGAAAGCCUGAUGCAGCGACGCCGCGUGAGGGAUGACGGCCUUCGGGUUGUAAACCUCUUUCGCUCAUGGUCAAGCCGCAGCUUUGGGUUGUGGUGAGGGUAGUGGGGUAAAGAA
Molecule: ribosomal RNA, 465 nt
Filed under: uncultured Actinomyces sp.
Lineage: Bacteria; Bacillati; Actinomycetota; Actinomycetes; Actinomycetales; Actinomycetaceae
Description: bacterial SSU rRNA
Rfam family: Bacterial small subunit ribosomal RNA
Source: RNAcentral